RNAcentral lists this ribosomal RNA (436 nucleotides) under Appasus japonicus. Its description in RNAcentral is "partial 16S rRNA". It matches the Rfam family "Archaeal large subunit ribosomal RNA", at positions 1921 to 2592 of the family's 2987-position model. Lineage: Eukaryota; Metazoa; Arthropoda; Insecta; Hemiptera; Belostomatidae. The record is from RNAcentral.
GUCCUUUUGAUUUUUAUAUAAGGUCUGACCUGCCCUAUGAAUAUUUAAAUGGCCGCGGUAUACUAACCGUGCAAAGGUAGCAUAGUCAUUUGUCUCUUAAUUGGAGGCUUGAAUGAAGGGUUGGACGAGAUAUAAGCUUUCUUUGUUAUAUUUUAUUGAAUUUGACUUUUGAGUUAAAAGGCUUAAAUUUUUUUAUAGGACGAGAAGACCCUAUAGAAUUUUAUAUAUUUGUAUAAUUGAUUUAUUUAUUUAUUAUUUAAUUUUUUGUUUAAAUAUAUUUUGUUGGGGCGAUGGGAAGAUUUUAAUAACUCUUUUUUGUUCUAAUCAUUGAUUUAUGUUUUGUUCUGAUCCUUUUUUAGAGAUUAUAAGAUUAAAUUACCUUAGGGAUAACAGCGUAAUUCUUUUGGAGAGUUCUUAUCGAUAAAAGAGUUUGCGA